RNAcentral lists this ribosomal RNA (235 nucleotides) under uncultured Actinomycetales bacterium. RNAcentral's name for it is "partial 16S ribosomal RNA". It matches the Rfam family "Bacterial small subunit ribosomal RNA", at positions 96 to 334 of the family's 1533-position model. Lineage: Bacteria; Bacillati; Actinomycetota; Actinomycetes; Actinomycetales. The record is from RNAcentral.
UGGCGAACGGGUGAGUAACACGUGGGUGAUCUGCCCUGCACUUUGGGAUAAGCCUUGGAAACUGGGUCUAAUACCAGAUAGGACCAUGCUUUGGAUGGUGUGGUGGAAAGUUUUUUCGGUGUGGGAUGAGCUUGCGGCCUAUCAGCUUGUUGGUGGGGUAAUGGCCUACCAAGGCGUCGACGGGUAGCCGGCCUGAGAGGGUGUACGGCCACAUUUGGACUGAGAUACGGCCCAG